Molecule: ribosomal RNA, 485 nt
Filed under: uncultured bacterium
Lineage: Bacteria
Description: partial 16S ribosomal RNA
Rfam family: Bacterial small subunit ribosomal RNA
Source: RNAcentral
GAUGAACGCUAGCGAUAGGCUUAACACAUGCAAGUCGAGGGGCAGCGAGGGUAGCAAUACCUGUCGGCGACCGGCGCAAGGGUGAGUAACGCGUAUGUAACCUGCCCGCAACAGGGGGAUAACACGGCGAAAGUCGGACUAAUACCGCAUAAAACAGGGGUCCCGCAUGGGAAUAUUUGUUAAAGAUUUAUCGGUUGCGGAUGGGCAUGCGUACCAUUAGGUAGUUGGUGAGGUAACGGCUAACCAAGCCUUCGAUGGUUAGGGGUUCUGAGAGGAAGGUCCCCCACACUGGUACUGAGACACGGACCAGACUCCUACGGGAGGCAGGAGUGAGGAAUAUUGGUCAAUGGGCGAGAGCCUGAACCAGCCAAGUCGCGUGAAAGAUGACUGCCCUAUGGGUUGUAAACUUCUUUUACAAGGGAAUAAAAUGAGAUACGUGUAUUUUAUUGCAUGUACCUUGGGAAUAAGCAUCGGCUAACUCCGUG